AGCUCAGAGAUAAAAGCUAUGGGAGGGUGCACUGAUGUCUGAGUGAUGUUUAACCAUGCCGGUCCAGGUACAGUGCCUGUCUCCGGAAUGAUGCAGGGAUCCCAAAGUGGAGAGAAUUAGACCUAUCGCAUUUGUGAUUAGAGUGGGCAAGAAAAGCAACAAAUGAUCAGGAGAAUUGGGGGCUUACCCAGUGAGCGAAGCUUUGGCAAAAAUGUAAAGCCGUGCAGCACAAUGCAAGAGGAGGCCAAGGACUCCCUGCAAAACCUCAACUUCAAGCCUAAAACAGCCUGAAGGUUGAAAAACUGGACUGCUGGCUCCAGAUGAAGUCCACCCUUUCCCAACUGAUUCUUUCUGAAUAAUGCCCACCUGCACACUCAGAGGAUGGGGUGGGGCCAUGCAAGCUCCCUGCCGGGAACCCAGCCUCUUGAGCUCCUAUGUGGUGGGGCAGGAGCCAGUUCACAGGCUUCCCUCUCACUCUGCUGAGAGUUUUUCUCUUUUCCUUUUUUUUGCCCAAUAAAUUCCAUUUUUCUCACCC
RNAcentral lists this long non-coding RNA (535 nucleotides) under Homo sapiens (human). RNAcentral describes it as "HSALNT0309953". The record is from RNAcentral. Lineage: Eukaryota; Metazoa; Chordata; Mammalia; Primates; Hominidae.